Molecule: microRNA precursor, 67 nt
Filed under: Sphenodon punctatus (tuatara)
Lineage: Eukaryota; Metazoa; Chordata; Lepidosauria; Sphenodontia; Sphenodontidae
Description: Spt-Mir-219-P2_pre stem-loop
Rfam family: mir-219 microRNA precursor family
About the family: The hairpin precursors (represented here) are predicted based on base pairing and cross-species conservation -- their extents are not known. In this case the mature sequence is excised from the 5' arm of the hairpin.
Source: RNAcentral
UGAUUGUCCAAACGCAAUUCUUGUUCAACGGAAACAUACAAACCAAGAAUUGUGCCUGGACAUCCGU